AUCACUGGGCUUAAAGCGUACGUAGGCGGGUGCACAGGCGUCUUGUGAAGCCCUCGGCUCAACCGAGGAAUUGCUUGACGAACCGUGUGCCUUGAGGCGGGUAGGGCUGUCGGAACGAUAGGUGGAGUGGUGAAAUGCGUUGAUAUCUAUCGGAACGCCGAAGGAGAAAUCAGACAGCUGGGCCUGUCCUGACGCUGAGGUACGAAAGCGUGGGGAGCGAACGGGAUUAGAUACCCCGGUAGUCCACGCCGUAAACGAUGUGCACUAGAUCGAGGGGGUUCUGACACUGCUCUCGGUCGAAGCGAAAGUGUUAAGUGCACCGCCUGGGGAGUACGGUCGCAAGGCUAAAACUCAAAGGAAUUGACGGGGGCUCACACAAGCGGUGGAGCAUGUGGCUUAAUUCGAAGCAACGCGAAGAACCUUAUCCUGGGUUUGACAUGCAUGGAUUAGCUCUGUGAAAGCAGAGUGACGCGGCUUGCCGUGGAACAUGCACAGGUGCUGCAUGGCUGUCGUCAGCUCGUGCUGUGAAGUGUCGGGUUAAGUCCCUUAACGAGCGCAACCCUUAUCGCUAGUUGCCAGCGCGUCAUGGCGGGGACUCUAGCGAGACUGCCGGUGUCAAACCGGAGGAAGGUGGGGAUGACGUCAAGUCCGCAUGGCCUUUAUGCCCAGGGCUGCACACGUGCUACAAUGGCCGGUACAGAACGACGCAAUACCGCGAGGUGGAGCAAAUCGCCAAAGCCGGCCCCAGUUCGGAUUGCAGGCUGCAACUCGC
This 772-nucleotide ribosomal RNA is filed under the name uncultured Planctomycetota bacterium. RNAcentral's name for it is "bacterial SSU rRNA". It matches the Rfam family "Bacterial small subunit ribosomal RNA", at positions 550 to 1315 of the family's 1533-position model. Lineage: Bacteria; Pseudomonadati; Planctomycetota. The record is from RNAcentral.